Long non-coding RNA from Dermochelys coriacea (leatherback sea turtle), 302 nucleotides. RefSeq lists it as uncharacterized. The record is from RefSeq and is a predicted model, not a curated record. The transcript has 3 exons. Lineage: Eukaryota; Metazoa; Chordata; Testudines; Dermochelyidae.
ACUUGACUUUCUCUCCCAUUUGCAACUGCUGUUAACAGAUUCCAUAGGGGCCUCAGAAUGGACCUUAAAAGGCUGGAGGUAGCAGAAUCAACAGCAGAAGCUCCAGCUAUAACUACUACCAACAAGCAAGCUGCCUGAACUCUGCCUCACAGAAUGCUGCAGAAUGUGAAGCUGCAGAAACCACAUGCAGAAUAGCUACAAUUCUUAAAACUCCUUACUCCACAAUUACCAGCUGUCAACACAAGCUAUCCCUGGAUUCAUUCAAAAAUGGAACUACUGAAAAGGAGAGGCUGCUAUUACAA